This 493-nucleotide ribosomal RNA is filed under the name uncultured bacterium. Its description in RNAcentral is "partial 16S ribosomal RNA". It matches the Rfam family "Bacterial small subunit ribosomal RNA", at positions 29 to 523 of the family's 1533-position model. The record is from RNAcentral.
AUUGAACGCUGGCGGCAUGCUUUACACAUGCAAGUCGAACGGUAACAGGUUAAGCUGACGAGUGGCGAACGGGUGAGUAAUGCAUCGGAACGUGCCCGGUCGUGGGGGAUAACGCAGCGAAAGCUGCGCUAAUACCGCAUACGAUCUGAGGAUGAAAGCGGGGGACCGUAAGGCCUCGCGCGAUCGGAGCGGCCGAUGUCAGAUUAGGUAGUUGGUGGGGGAAAGGCUCACCAAGCCAACGAUCUGUAGCUGGUCUGAGAGGACGACCAGCCACACUGGGACUGGGACACGGCCCAGACUCCUACGGGAGGCAGCAGUGGGGAAUUUUGGACAAUGGGCGAAAGCCUGAUCCAGCAAUGCCGCGUGCAGGAAGAAGGCCUUCGGGUUGUAAACUGCUUUUGUACGGAGCGAAAAGGCUCUCUCUAAUACAGGGGGCUCAUGACGGUACCGUAAGAAUAAGCACCGGCUAACUACGUGCCAGCCGCCGCAGUAA